RNAcentral lists this ribosomal RNA (445 nucleotides) under Conostigmus sp. M85. Its description in RNAcentral is "SSU rRNA". It matches the Rfam family "Eukaryotic small subunit ribosomal RNA", at positions 462 to 855 of the family's 1831-position model. The record is from RNAcentral. Lineage: Eukaryota; Metazoa; Arthropoda; Insecta; Hymenoptera; Megaspilidae.
AGGUAGUGACGAAAAAUAACGAUACGGGACUCAUCCGAGGCCCCGUAAUCGGAAUGAGUAUACUUUAAAUCCUUAUGCGAGGAUCAAUUGGAGGGCAAGUCUGGUGCCAGCCGCCGCGGUAAUUCACAGCUCCAAUAGCGUAUAUUAAAGUUGUUGCGGUUAAAAAGCUCGUAGUUGAAUCUGUGUGCCACGCUGUCGGUUCACCGCUCGCGGUGCUCAACUGACAUGAUCGUGGGACGUCCUACCGGUGGGCUUAGCUCGUACCUCUCGGGGUCGGGCGGUCCGACAAUAUCCCAUCGCGGUGCUCUUCACUGAGUGCCGAGGUGGGCCGGUACGUUUACUUUGAACAAAUUAGAGUGCUUAAAGCAGGCUGUCCGUCGCCUGGAAUACUGUGUGCAUGGGAAUAAUGGGAAUAGACCUCGGUUCUAUUUUGUUGGUUUUCGGA